GAUGAACGCUAGCUACAGGCUUAACACAUGCAAGUCGAGGGGAAACGAUAGAGAAAGCUUGCUUUUUCUAGGCGUCGACCGGCGCACGGGUGAGUAACGCGUAUCCAACCUGCCCAUCACUUGGGGAUAACCUUGCGAAAGUAAGACUAAUACCCAAUGACGUCUCUAGAAGACAUCUGAAAGAGAUUAAAGAUUUAUCGGUGAUGGAUGGGGAUGCGUCUGAUUAGCUUGUUGGCGGGGUAACGGCCCACCAAGGCGACGAUCAGUAGGGGUUCUGAGAGGAAGGUCCCCCACAUUGGAACUGAGACACGGUCCAAACUCCUACGGGAGGCAAGCAGUGAGGAAUAUUGGUCAAUGGACGAGAGUCUGAACCAGCCAAGUAGCGUGCAGGAUGACGGCCCUAUGGGUUGUAAACUGCUUUAUAAGGGAUAAAGUGAGUCUCGUGAGACUUUUUGCAUGUACCUUAUGAAUAAGGACCGGCUAAUUCCGUGCCAGCAGCCGACGG
RNAcentral lists this ribosomal RNA (505 nucleotides) under uncultured bacterium. RNAcentral's name for it is "bacterial SSU rRNA". It matches the Rfam family "Bacterial small subunit ribosomal RNA", at positions 28 to 520 of the family's 1533-position model. The record is from RNAcentral.